GACGAACGCUGGCGGCGUGCCUAAUACAUGCAAGUCGAACGAACCGCGACUAGGUGCUUGCACUUGGUCAAGGUGAGUGGCGAACGGGUGAGUAACACGUGGGUAACCUACCUCAUAGUGGGGGAUAACAGUCGGAAACGACUGCUAAUACCGCAUAGGACAUAGGAUCACAUGAUCCAGUGAGGAAAGGUGGCGCAAGCUAUCGCUAAGAGAUGGACCCGCGGUGCAUUAGCUAGUUGGUAGGGUAAAGGCCUACCAAGGCGAUGAUGCAUAGCCGACCUGAGAGGGUGAUCGGCCGCAUUGGGACUGAGACACGGCCCAAACUCCUACGGGAGGCAGCAGUAGGGAAUCUUCCGCAAUGGACGCAAGUCUGACGGAGCAACGCCGCGUGAGUGAAGAAGGUCUUCGGAUCGUAAAGCUCUGUUGUUAGGGAAGAACAGCGCAUAGAGUAACUGUUAUGCGUGUGACGGUAUCUAACCAGAAAGCCACGGCUAACUACGUG
RNAcentral lists this ribosomal RNA (502 nucleotides) under uncultured bacterium. RNAcentral describes it as "partial 16S ribosomal RNA". It matches the Rfam family "Bacterial small subunit ribosomal RNA", at positions 28 to 507 of the family's 1533-position model. The record is from RNAcentral.